Molecule: ribosomal RNA, 2316 nt
Filed under: Veillonella parvula
Lineage: Bacteria; Bacillati; Bacillota; Negativicutes; Veillonellales; Veillonellaceae
Description: partial 23S ribosomal RNA
Rfam family: Bacterial large subunit ribosomal RNA
Source: RNAcentral
GGUUAAGUGACUAAGCGUACAUGGUGGAUGCCUUGGCAGUCAGAGGCGAUGAAGGACGUACUAACCUGCGAUAAGCCGUGAGCAGUCGGUAAGAGACAUUACGACUCACGGAUUUCCGAAUGGGGAAACCCACUUAGCAUAAGCUAGGUAUCGCUGCGUGAAUACAUAGCGUAGCGAGGCGAACCGGGAGAACUGAAACAUCUAAGUACCCCGAGGAAAAGAAAUCAACCGAGAUUCCCUCAGUAGCGGCGAGCGAACGGGGAUUAGCCCUUAAGCAUCUUGGAAGUUAGUGGAACGGUCCUGGAAAGGCCGGCGAUACAGGGUGAUAGCCCCGUACACGAAAACAACCUUGAUGUGAAAUCGAGUAGGGCGGGACACGUGACAUCCUGUCUGAAUAUGGGGGGACCAUCCUCCAAGGCUAAAUACUCCUGACUGACCGAUAGUGAACCAGUACCGUGAGGGAAAGGCGAAAAGAACCCCUGUGAGGGGAGUGAAAUAGAACCUGAAACCGUGUACGUACAAGCAGUGGGAGCCCUUCGGGGUGACUGCGUACCUUUUGUAUAAUGGGUCAGCGACUUACAUUUUGUAGCGAGGUUAACCGUAUAGGGGAGCCGUAGGGAAACCGAGUCUUAACUGGGCGUCUAGUUGCAAGGUGUAGACCCGAAACCGGGUGAUCUAGCCAUGGGCAGGUUGAAGGUUGAGUAACAUCAACUGGAGGACCGAACCCACUAACGUUGCAAAGUUAGGGGAUGACCUGUGGCUGGGGGUGAAAGGCCAAUCAAACUCGGAGAUAGCUGGUUCUCCCCGAAAGCUAUUUAGGUAGCGCCUCGGACGAAUACUACUGGGGGUAGAGCACUGUUUGGGCUAGGGGGUCAUCCCGACUUACCAACCCCAUGCAAACUCCGAAUACCAGUAAGUAAUAUCCGGGAGACACACGGCGGGUGCUAACGUCCGUCGUGAAGAGGGAAACAACCCAGACCGCCGGCUAAGGUCCCAAAGUUCUGGUUAAGUGGGAAACGAUGUGGGAAGGCUCAGACAGCUAGGAUGUUGGCUUAGAAGCAGCCAUCAUUUAAAGAAAGCGUAAUAGCUCACUAGUCGAGUCGGCCUGCGCGGAAGAUGUAACGGGGCUCAAACCAGGCACCGAAGCCGCGGAUUCACACUUAUGUGUGAGUGGUAGGGGAGCGUUCUGUAAGUCUGCGAAGGUGUGUCGAGAGGCAUGCUGGAGAUAUCAGAAGUGCGAAUGCUGACGUAAGUAACGAUAAAGGGGGUGAAAAGCCUCCUCGCCGGAAGACCAAGGGUUCCUGUCCAACGUUAAUCGGGGCAGGGUGAGUCGACCCCUAAGGCGAGGCCGAAAGGCGUAGUCGAUGGGAAGCAGGUUAAUAUUCCUGCACGACUUGUAAUUGCGAUGGGGGGACGGAGAAGGCUAGGUGGGCCAGGCGACGGUUGUCCUGGUGAAAGUGCGUAGGUGGUGUUUCUAGGCAAAUCCGGAGACACAACACUGAGACACGAGACGAACACACUACGGUGUGGAAGCCAUUGAUGCCCUGCUUCCAGGAAAAGCCUCUAAGCUUCAGAUUACAAGUCAUCGUACCCCAAACCGACACAGGUGGUCGGGUAGAGAAUACCAAGGCGCUUGAGAGAACUCGGGUGAAGGAACUAGGCAAAAUAGAACCGUAACUUCGGGAGAAGGUUCGCUCUUGACAGUGAAGUCCCUUGCGGAUGGAGCAGUUGGGAGUCGCAGUGACCAGAUGGCUGGGACUGUUUAUCAAAAACACAGCACUCUGCAAACACGAAAGUGGACGUAUAGGGUGUGACACCUGCCCGGUGCCGGAAGGUUAAUUGAUGGGGUUAGCGCAAGCGAAGCUCUUGAUCGAAGCCCCGGUAAACGGCGGCCGUAACUAUAACGGUCCUAAGGUAGCGAAAUUCCUUGUCGGGUAAGUUCCGACCUGCACGAAUGGUGUAACCAUGGCCAUGCUGUCUCCACCCGAGACUCAGUGAAAUCGAAUUCGCCGUGAAGAUGCGGUGUACCCGCGGCUAGACGGAAAGACCCCGUGAACCUUUACUACAGCUUGGCACUGAACAUUGAACCUACAUGUGUAGGAUAGGUGGGAGGCUUUGAAGGCGUGACGCCAGUUGCGCUGGAGCCGUCCUUGAAAUACCACCCUUGUAUGUUUGAUGUUCUAACGCAGGCCCGUGAAUCCGGGUCGCGGACAGUGCCUGGUGGGUAGUUUGACUGGGGCGGUCUCCUCCCAAAGAGUAACGGAGGAGCACGAAGGUUGGCUAAUCCUGGUCGGACAUCAGGAGGUUAGUGCAAUG